This 351-nucleotide ribosomal RNA is filed under the name Bacillus cereus. RNAcentral describes it as "bacterial SSU rRNA". It matches the Rfam family "Bacterial small subunit ribosomal RNA", at positions 1 to 339 of the family's 1533-position model. Lineage: Bacteria; Bacillati; Bacillota; Bacilli; Caryophanales; Bacillaceae. The record is from RNAcentral.
UUUAUUGGAGAGUUUGAUCCUGGCUCAGGAUGAACGCUGGCGGCGUGCCUAAUACAUGCAAGUCGAGCGAAUGGAUUAAGAGCUUGCUCUUAUGAAGUUAGCGGCGGACGGGUGAGUAACACGUGGGUAACCUGCCCAUAAGACUGGGAUAACUCCGGGAAACCGGGGCUAAUACCGGAUAACAUUUUGAACUGCAUGGUUCGAAAUUGAAAGGCGGCUUCGGCUGUCACUUAUGGAUGGACCCGCGUCGCAUUAGCUAGUUGGUGAGGUAACGGCUCACCAAGGCAACGAUGCGUAGCCGACCUGAGAGGGUGAUCGGCCACACUGGGACUGAGACACGGCCCAGACUCC